Molecule: ribosomal RNA, 359 nt
Filed under: uncultured bacterium
Lineage: Bacteria
Description: partial 16S ribosomal RNA
Rfam family: Bacterial small subunit ribosomal RNA
Source: RNAcentral
CCUACGGGAGGCAGCAGUGAGGAAUAUUGGUCAAUGGCCGAGAGGCUGAACCAGCCAAGUCGCGUGAGGGAAGACGGUCCUACGGGCUGUAAACCUCUUUUGUCGGGGAGCAAAGCGAGUCACGUGUGACUCAUUGAGCGUAUCCGAAGAAAAAGCAUCGGCGAACUCCGUGCCAGCAGCCGCGGUAAUCCGGAGGAUGCGAGCGUUAUCCGGAUUUAUUGGGGUUAAGGGGUGCGCAGGCGGAGGUACAAGGCUGCGGUCAAAUAGCGGGGCUCAACCCCGUAACUGCGUUGGAAACUGGGCGGCGGGAGUGCAGGAGGGGUAAGCGGAAGGGUGAGGGGAGGGGGGAAAGGCGUAGA